RNAcentral lists this ribosomal RNA (482 nucleotides) under uncultured bacterium. Its description in RNAcentral is "partial 16S ribosomal RNA". It matches the Rfam family "Bacterial small subunit ribosomal RNA", at positions 30 to 507 of the family's 1533-position model. The record is from RNAcentral.
AUUGAACGCUGGCGGCAUGCUUUACACAUGCAAGUCGAACGGUAACAGGCCGCAAGGUGCUGACGAGUGGCGAACGGGUGAGUAAUGCAUCGGAACGUGCCCAGUCGUGGGGGAUAACUACUCGAAAGAGUAGCUAAUACCGCAUACGAUCUCUGGAUGAAAGCGGGGGACCGUAAGGCCUCGCGCGAUUGGAGCGGCCGGUGUCAGAUUAUGUAGUUUGUGGGGUAAAGGCUCACCAAGCCAACGAUCUGUAGCUGGUCUGAGAGGAGGACAAGCCACAAUGGGACUGAGACACGGCCCAGACUCCUACGGGAGGCAGCAGUGGGGAAUUUUGGACAAUGGGCGCAAGCCUGAUCCAGCAAUGCCGCGUGCAGGAAGAAGGCCUUCGGGUUGUAAACUGCUUUUGUACGGAACGAAACGGCUCUGGUUAAUACCCGGGGCUAAUGACGGUACCGUAAGAAUAAGCACCGGCUAACUACGUG